AUAUCAAUAAGCGGAGGAAAAGAAACUAACAAGGAUUCCCCUAGUAACUGCGAGUGAAGCGGGAAAAGCUCAAAUUUGAAAUCUGGCGGCCUUUGACCGUCCGAGUUGUAAUCUAGAGAAGUGUUACCCGUGCUGGACUGUGUACAAGUCUCCUGGAAUGGAGCGUCAUAGAGGGUGAGAAUCCCGUCUUUGACACGGACUGCCAGGGCUUUGUGAUGCGCUCUCGAAGAGUCGAGUUGUUUGGGAAUGCAGCUCAAAAUGGGUGGUAAAUUCCAUCUAAAGCUAAAUAUUGGCGAGAGACCGAUAGCGCACAAGUA
This 317-nucleotide ribosomal RNA is filed under the name uncultured Bolbitiaceae. Its description in RNAcentral is "partial large subunit ribosomal RNA". It matches the Rfam family "Eukaryotic large subunit ribosomal RNA", at positions 40 to 350 of the family's 3401-position model. Lineage: Eukaryota; Fungi; Basidiomycota; Agaricomycetes; Agaricales; Bolbitiaceae. The record is from RNAcentral.